Molecule: ribosomal RNA, 696 nt
Filed under: uncultured Bacteroidales bacterium
Lineage: Bacteria; Pseudomonadati; Bacteroidota; Bacteroidia; Bacteroidales
Description: bacterial SSU rRNA
Rfam family: Bacterial small subunit ribosomal RNA
Source: RNAcentral
UAACACAUGCAAGUCGAGGGGCAGCAUGGUCUUAGCUUGCUAAGGCCGAUGGCGACCGGCGCACGGGUGAGUAACGCGUAUCCAACCUGCCUUACACUCUUGGACAGCCUUCUGAAAGGGAGAUUAAUACAAGAUGUUAUCAUGAGUAAGCAUUUUCGCAUGAUUAAAGGUUUACCGGUGUAAGAUGGGGAUGCGUUCCAUUAGAUAGUAGGCGGGGUAACGGCCCACCUAGUCUUCGAUGGAUAGGGGUUCUGAGAGGAAGGUCCCCCACAUUGGGACUGAGACGCGGUCCAAACUCCUACGGGAGGCAGCAGUGAGGAAUAUUGGUCAAUGGACGAGAGUCUGAACCAGCCAAGUAGCGUGAAGGAUGAAGGUUCUAUGGAUUGUAAACUUCUUUUAUACGGGAAUAAACGAAUCCACGUGUGGAUUUUUGCAUGUACCGUAUGAAUAAGGAUCGGCUAACUCCGUGCCAGCAGCCGCGGUAAUACGGAGGAUCCGAGCGUUAUCCGGAUUUAUUGGGUUUAAAGGGAGCGUAGAUGGGUUGUUAAGUCAGUUGUGAAAGUUUGCGGCUCAACCGUAAAAUUGCAAUUGAUACUGGCAGUCUUGAGUACAGUUGAGGUAGGCGGAAUUCGUGGUGUAGCGGUGAAAUGCUUAGAUAUCACGAAGAACUCCGAUUGCGAAGGCAGCUUACUAACC